AGCAUGUGGUUUAAUUCGAAGCAACGCGAAGAACCUUACCAGGCCUUGACAUGCAGAGAACUUUCCAGAGAUGGAUUGGUGCCUUCGGGAACUCUGACACAGGUGCUGCAUGGCUGUCGUCAGCUCGUGUCGUGAGAUGUUGGGUUAAGUCCCGCAACGAGCGCAACCCUUGUGUUUAGUUGCAAACAGGUCAAGCUGUGCACUCUAGACAGACUGCCGUGGACAACACGGAGGAAGGUGGGGAUGACGUCAAAUCAUCAUGCCCCUUAUGACCUGGGCUACAAACGUGAUACAAUGGCCGGUACAAAGGGUUGCGAAGCCGUGAGGUGGAGCGAAUACUCAAAAAGCCGGCCUCAGUUCGGAUUGGAGGCUGCAACUCGCCUCCAUGAAGUCGGAAUCGCUAGUAACCGCAGAUCAGCUACGUUGCGGUGAAUACGUUCCCGGGCCUU
Molecule: ribosomal RNA, 449 nt
Filed under: uncultured bacterium
Lineage: Bacteria
Description: bacterial SSU rRNA
Rfam family: Bacterial small subunit ribosomal RNA
Source: RNAcentral